CGAUAGCGUAUAUUUAAGUUGUUGCAGUUAAAAAGCUCGUAGUUGGAUUUCGGGUGGGAAUGGCCGGUCCGCCGUUUCGGUGUGCACUUGCUACGCCCACCUUGCUGCCGGGGACGUGCUCUUGAGUUCACGCUCGGGACACGGAGUCGGCGAGGUUACUUUGAGUAAAUUAGAGUGUUCAAAGCAGGCCUACGCUCUGAAUACAUUAGCAUGGAAUAACACGAUAGGACUCUGGCCUAUCUUGUUGGUCUGUAGGACCGGAGUAAUGAUUAAGAGGGACAGUCGGGGGCAUUCGUAUUUCAUUGUCAGAGGUGAAAUUCUUGGAUUUAUGAAAGACGAACUACUGCGAAAGCAUUUGCCAAGGAUGUUUUCAUUAA
Molecule: ribosomal RNA, 377 nt
Filed under: uncultured eukaryote
Lineage: Eukaryota
Description: partial 18S ribosomal RNA
Rfam family: Eukaryotic small subunit ribosomal RNA
Source: RNAcentral